Long non-coding RNA from Clupea harengus (Atlantic herring), 1761 nucleotides. Lineage: Eukaryota; Metazoa; Chordata; Actinopteri; Clupeiformes; Clupeidae. The record is from Ensembl.
GUGUGUGUGUGUGUGUGUGUGUGUGUGUGUGUGGGUGUUUGUGUGUGAACCUGCCCAGAGAAGAGUGUGCGUGUGUGUGUGUGUGUGUUUGUGUGUGUGAACCUGCCCAGAGAAGAGUGUGUGUUUGUGUGUGUGAACCUGCCCAGAGAAGGGUGGAGACGUCUCUUCUGUUUUUGUGUGUGUGUGUUUGUGUGUGUUAAUAUGAAACUGCCUAGUCAUCAAAGAGGCGUCAUCUUGUCCACUUCCUCUGUGUGUGUGUGUGUGUGUGUGUGUGCGUGUGCGUGCGCGUGUGCGUAUACCUUCCCAGAGACGAGUUCAGAUGUCUCCUCCUCUCCCUCUGUGUGUGUGUGUGUGUGUGUGUGUGUGUGUGGACAUCCCUCUCCCUGUCUUCUCCAGCUCCUGGGCAGCUGUUAAAAAAUGCAGAUGAUCCUUUUAAGGGCCUCAGCCCGCGACACACACACAUACACACACACACACACACACACACACACACACAGCCUCAGGGGGCUCUCCAGGGCAGAUCCAGACCCACUGCUCAGUACACACACACACACUUGAGCACACAGACACACGCAUACACAAUCACAGAUGAUCAAACACACACACACACACACACACACUCCAGUGUAGCAUGCUGGUGUAAAUGGGAAGGGUUGACUCUGUGCGGUAUGACCUGAAGCACACACUCCUGAAAGCACCUGUGGCAACCCGCCACGGCAACAUGCCUGGAAACAUCAUGCUCCCCACCGCACGGAGGAGGAGGAAGAGGAGGGAGGAGGAAGAGGAGAGAGGAGGGAAGAGGAGGAGAGAGGAGGAGGAGAGAGGAGGAGGAGAGAGGAGAGGAGGAGAAGAAGAGAGGAGGAGGAGGAAAGGGAAGGAAGGAAGGGAGGAGAGGGAGGAGGAGGAAAGGAGAGAGAGAGGAGAAAAGCUUCUUCAGCUGGCUGGUGGUUCAUGUUGAGAGAGAGAUUGAGACUACUGUACUGCUGGUCUGCGUGUGUGUGUGUCUGUGUGUGUGUGUGUGUGUGUUCCUGGCAGACUGGGUUCAGCAUCAAGUUCAGCUGUGUGCGUGUGUGUGUGUGUGUGUGUGUGUGUGUGUGUUCCUGGCAGACUGGGUUCAGCAUCAAGUUCAGCUGUGUGUGUGUGUGUGUUCCUGGCAAACUGGGUUCAGCAUCAAGUUCAGCUGUGUGUGUGUGUGUGUGUGUGUGUGUGUGUGUGUGUGUGUUUGCGUCUCCUCUUGAGUGUUCUCUGUUGUUCCCUAUCGAUUGCUCCCCUCUCCACGAGGUUUCAUCAGCAGCACGUUACCAUGGCGCUGGGAGGUGGCGGCACCCCGUCUCUCUGGAGACGAAGGAUGACACGCAAGCCUGAAGAGAUGAGAGGAAGGGGGGAAGGAGGACAAGUGUGUGUGUGUGUGUGUGUGUGUGUGUGUGUGUGUGUCUGUGUGUGUCUGUGUGUGUCAGAGAGAAGUGUGUGUGUGUCAGAGAGAAGUGUGUGCUAGAGAGAAGUGUGUGUGUGUGUGUGUCUGUGUGUGUGCUAGAGAGAAGUGUGUGUGUGUGUGUGUGUGUGUGUCUGUGUGUGUGCUAGAGAGAAGUGUGUGUGUGUGUGUGUGUGUGUGUGUGUGUGUGUGUCUGUCUGUCAGAGAGAAGUGUUUGUGUGUCAGAGAGAAGUGUGUGUUAUUGGAAUGAUCUAACAGAAAACAGGCGCCAUAAUGACUGUGUGACUGGUUUAAUAGAGAGAGAGAUUUUGAUAACAUUUAAAAGUGCC